AUGACGGACUGGAUAGCCUGCAGUCAUGGUUUCGAUCUACCGGGCGUUCGAGCAUCACUUUGGCGGCGCCAGGUUCUAGAGGCCGCCGACCGCUUGCCCCUCCCGAUCGAUCAGAUUGAGUCGAGCCACCGUCUUCCGUUCGCUCCGCCCCGUCCCACAGUUGGGCUUUGGGCCUCUCCCUAUCUGGUCGUCAUCGCCCCGCAGUCGGCCUCUCCCGAUCGAUCGCUCUCGCCCCGCAGAACGGGCCUCUCCCGAUCGAUCCCCCCGCCCCCGCACAGUCUUCGUUUGAGGCAGCAGAUCGCCCCGCCACCAACCCAACCACCGAAUUCCUGCUGCUGGCUCGAUCCAUCUGCGGUUGUUCUCCCGUUCUCACGAAGCUAUGUCGCAGUUCCUCGCUGCCCGGUGAUCUUUGAUGGCACUAACUAUAUCGAGUUUGCUGGCUUCAUGCACAUUCAUAUGCGUGGCAUUCGUCUUUGGGGCGUUCUUUCUGGCGAGGUCUGUUGUCCGUCGUGUCCGGUUUCACCUAUGGCUCCUACUCCGCCGACGCCACUGGUUCUUGCUGCUGAUGCUGAUCAAGCUGCUAAGGAUGCAGCUAAGCUUGCAGAUGAUGCUGCCGUCCAUGCUUAUGAUGCCCAGGUUUCGACUUAUGAGGAGGCUCUUCAGACUUAUCAUGAGGCUCUUUCUGCUUACACUCAGUGGCUUGAUGAGGAUGCCCAUGCCGCAACUUUCUCACUGCUAGUGUUCUGCCUCAGUUUGCCUCUGAGUUCUUGGGGCUCCCUACCGUAUUUGACAUGUGGACCCGUCUCUGUCAACGCUAUCAACCCUCUGGUGAUGCCUUAUAUCUGUCUGUGGUCCGGCAGGAACAUGCUCUUCAGCAAGCUUGAUUCUCUCCGCAUUGCUGGUUGCCGUACUUGUCAGUGUUGCCAGGCUGUGCGAGCUAAUUUGGAGUUUCAUCGUGUCUACGAGUUCUUAUCUCGGCUCCGUAAGGAGUUUGAGCCCCGGCGUGCUCAGUUGUUUGCUCGCGGUCGUAUCUCCCUCAUGGAGGCGCUUUCCGAGAUUCAUGCUGAGGAGACUCGCCUACGUGGUGCAGGUCUACUUGAGGUUACCUCUGUGCUUGCUGCUCGAGUUCCUGUUAUGUCACUUGCUGCACUGACUCCAUCCAGCUCCAGUGCUCCUUCGCUCUUGCCUACUCCUACGGGCGGCCAGGGUCGGUCUCGUCCUCACUGUGGCUACUGCAAUAUGGAUGGUCAUGUUGAGUAUCAGUGCUUCUAG
This 1272-nucleotide ribosomal RNA is filed under the name Triticum aestivum (bread wheat). Its description in RNAcentral is "partial small subunit ribosomal RNA". Lineage: Eukaryota; Viridiplantae; Streptophyta; Magnoliopsida; Poales; Poaceae. The record is from RNAcentral.